AUUUCUUAUUUCAGGGGGUUAUGGAGGCCAUUAGGAUUAGUUGUGCUGGAUAUCCUACAAGAAAGCCAUUCCGUGAAUUUGUAGGUCGUUUUGGCAUCUUGGAUCCUAAUGUCUUUGCUGGGAGCUGUGAUGAAGUAACUGCUUGUAAGCGGCUUCUAGAGAAGGUGGAUCUCAAGGGUUAUCAGGUAAGCACCAGUAGAUCACUUUUUGUUUUUAAUUUUGAUCUAAUUUCGUUCUUAAUUACCUACCCCCAAUUGUAUUUUCCUUAGCAUUGCAGCUUUAGUUUCAUAGGUUCCCGAAUGUUGUAAACUAAUCUUAUUCUACUGCUGAGGUUAGAAGCUACUUGAAAUAGAAAAUCGUUUGAUCUUUUUUGUCUUUUAACCAUUUUCAAUGACAGAUUGGUAAAACCAAAGUUUUUCUCAGAGCUGGCCAAAUGGCAGAAUUGGAUGCUUGUCGAAGUGAGGUCUUAGGAAGAUCAGCAAGUGUCAUACAGAGGAAAGUACGAUCAUAUCUUGCUCAGAAAAGCUUUAUCUUGCUACGGGUUUCUUCUAUUCAAAUUCAAGCCUUUUGUAGAGGACAAGUUGCACGUUAUCAGUAUGAAUACAAGAGAAGGGAGGCCGCUUCUAUCAAAAUCCAGACUCAUUAUCGUAUGUGUCUUUCUAUGAAUGCAUAUCAAAAGUUGCACUCGUCAGCUGUUCUAAUUCAAACAUGUAUACGAGGGAUGGCUGCACGUAGUGACUUUAAGUUCAGGAAACAUUUUAUUUUUUUAUCUUUUUUUUUUAUUUAUUAUUUUUUGUUAUUUAGCUUUUGUUUUUUUUUAAUCUUUUUUUUUAUUUAUUAUUUAGUUCGUCAUAAAGAAUUUAAAAAUUAAAUAUCUAUGUAUUCCUUUUCCUAUUAUAAUUUGGACAUUCUUAUUCUAAUUUAUAUCAGAGCUAACUGAGAAUAAUAAUAUAUGUCAUCAACACAUAACCUAUUUAUAUCUCAUCUCUUCUCUCGCUUUUUUCAUUCCAAUAUAUAUAACAGAAUCAU
Cannabis sativa is the source of this 1029-nucleotide long non-coding RNA. RefSeq lists it as uncharacterized. The record is from RefSeq and is a predicted model, not a curated record. Lineage: Eukaryota; Viridiplantae; Streptophyta; Magnoliopsida; Rosales; Cannabaceae. The transcript is spliced from 3 exons.